This 250-nucleotide ribosomal RNA is filed under the name uncultured prokaryote. Its description in RNAcentral is "partial 16S ribosomal RNA". It matches the Rfam family "Bacterial small subunit ribosomal RNA", at positions 524 to 773 of the family's 1533-position model. The record is from RNAcentral.
UACGUAGGGGGCGAGCGUUGUCCGGAAUGACUGGGCGUAAAGGGCGUGUAGGCGGCGAUUUAAGUUUGGAGUGAAAGUCCCGUUUUCAAGAUGGGAAUUGCUUUGGAUACUGGAUUGCUUGAGUACAGAAGAGGUAAGCGGAAUUCCCGGUGUAGCGGUGAAAUGCGUAGAGAUCGGGAGGAACACCAGUGGCGAAGGCGGCUUACUGGGCUGUAACUGACGCUGAGGCGCGAAAGCGUGGGGAGCGAAC